This 433-nucleotide unclassified non-coding RNA is filed under the name soil metagenome. Its description in RNAcentral is "partial contains 5.8S ribosomal RNA, internal transcribed spacer 2, and large subunit ribosomal RNA". The stretch from base 1 to 120 matches the Rfam family "5.8S ribosomal RNA", at positions 35 to 154 of the family's 154-position model. The record is from RNAcentral.
GAUGAAGAACGUAGCGAAAUGCGAUACGUAAUGUGAAUUGCAGAAUUCAGUGAAUCAUCGAAUCUUUGAACGCAUAUUGCGCUCUCUGGUAUUCCGGAGAGCAUGCUUGUUUGAGUAUCAGUAAACACCUCAACUUCCAUAUCUUUUUUGAAAUGGGAGUUGGACUUGAGUGAUCCCAACGCUUUUCCUCACCGAAAAGUGGCGGGUUACUUGAAAUGCAGGUGCAGCUGGACUUUUCUCUGAGCUAUAAGCAUAUCUAUUUAGUCUGCCUAAAAAACAGAUUAUUACCUUUGAUGCAGCUAACAUAAAGGAGAUUAGUUCUUGUGCUGACUGAUGCAGGAUUCACAAAGACAGGCUUCGGCCGACUUUGUAAACUCGAUCUCAAAUCAAGUAAGACUACCCGCUGAACUUAAGCAUAUCAAUAAGCGGAGGA